ACAGCCCAUGAAGCACUGAGUCCUGCCAAAAGCCACGUGCAUGAGCUUAGAAGAGCUUCAUCCUCCAGGCUAGGAAAGAGACAGUCGGUGUGCAGCAAGAGAAAAGAGAGGAGGAAACAUGUGGAAAGACCCAAAGGAUGAAGACACAAGAGCAUGCCUGAAUGCAAUGGGAAGUAGAUCAGUUGACCUUUGCUGAAUAACAAGGUGGACCUAAAACUGGGUGACUUGAAACAGCCCAUAAUCCUGUGGACCUAAAGGUUGCUGUAUGAAGU
This 272-nucleotide long non-coding RNA is filed under the name Homo sapiens (human). RNAcentral describes it as "HSALNT0069172". Lineage: Eukaryota; Metazoa; Chordata; Mammalia; Primates; Hominidae. The record is from RNAcentral.